AUUGAACGCUGGCGGCAGGCUUAACACAUGCAAGUCGAGCGGAAACGAUGGGAGCUUGCUCCCAGGCGUCGAGCGGCGGACGGGUGAGUAAAGCUUAGGAAUCUGCCCAGUAGUGGGGGACAACAGUCGGAAACGGCUGCUAAUACCGCAUACGCCCUUUGGGGGAAAGCAGGGGAUCUUCGGACCUUGCGCUAUUGGAUGAGCCUAAGUCGGAUUAGCUAGUUGGUGGGGUAAUGGCCUACCAAGGCGACGAUCCGUAGCUGGUCUGAGAGGAUGAUCAGCCACAUCGGGACUGAGACACGGCCCGAACUCCUACGGGAGGCAGCAGUGGGGAAUAUUGGACAAUGGGGGCAACCCUAAUCCAGCCAUGCCGCGUGUGUGAAGAAGGCUUUCGGGUUGUAAAGCACUUUCAGUGAGGAGGAAGGCCUCAAAGUUAAUACCUUUGAGGA
This 449-nucleotide ribosomal RNA is filed under the name uncultured bacterium. RNAcentral describes it as "bacterial SSU rRNA". It matches the Rfam family "Bacterial small subunit ribosomal RNA", at positions 30 to 472 of the family's 1533-position model. The record is from RNAcentral.